GGUCCCCGCCCCGACUCCCAAGUUACCUGUCCCGUCACAGGCCCCUCAGAGUCCUGCUGUUCUAUGGCCGCCGACAUUACUCUUGUGGGUGGGGAGGCGGGGUUUACAUUUUGCCAGAUUAAAUGACUGGUUAAAGAUGUAAUUUCUGUCCCAAGAUAGGGCAGGAAGAUGUUUCGGGCAGACUCCUAAUCUCCCCCAAUCCAAUUAUCUACCAAUCAGUCCUAAAUCGUCUGUGCACUGCAUUGUCCGUAGAAAUAGCUAGAAUAUCAACGGUUUAAUAGCAGAUAGGAGCCCGCAAUUUGAGAAGCUCUUCUUUGGGCCAGGCUGGGUCUUCUCCCAACUCUCCUUCCCUCACUUGUCAAACAAUGAAAAGGGACCAGCUGGAGAGUCUGGGCGGUUCCGGCACCGGGACCCCGGCCCGGGGCUGACCUGCUUGCGGUCUGCGGGUUCCGGGCGGGGGCGGGGCCCUCUCUCGCGCUCCGGCGGCCCUGCAGCCGGGAGAGGGCCCGGGCCCGGGCGCGGGCGGGGCGGGGCGGGCCGGGGAGCUCCGGCGGGGGCGAGCUCGCGGGACGCGCGGGCGGAGCGGGGAGCUUCCGGUCCCGGUCUUCGGCGCAGGACGCAGCGGUCGCGUGCAAGAGAGUUUUAUAGAAGGCUGGCCGCGCGCUGACCCUGGCGAUGCCUGGAACCGGAGCCCCCUUGGUCAAAGGUGUCCGGCUGUCAGUUACCUAACAAGUCAUUACGCCCAGCCUGUUUCUUCUUGUGAUGCGAAUCAUCGUUAUUUGGUUGUUCCCGGGCUGAUUACACACAGCCGUGGGAGUUAGGGGCCGGCAGUAGAGUGGGCGCCCGGGCCCUGCCCUGAAUUUGUCUUUAGCAAAUCCCCUAGACCCUCUCUGCCUUAGAUAUACACAGUCAAUAUUUAACUUUUAAAAGUUCUGCCUUCCUUUUUUAACUUAAAAACAUUUAGGAAGGUAUAAAAUAAAAAAAAUAAGAAAAUUUCUCCUAGUGCCAAUAAGGGGCUAUAAUCACUCAUUCUGGUAUAUUAAAAAAAAAUUUUUUUUUUUGCUUUUUUGUUUAAAACCUCUCCUUAGGUAUUUUUAAUUUUUUCCCCAUCAUUUUCAUCCUAUUUCUUAUUCUGGUUUCCAGCCUGCUUUUUAAAAUUGUUAUAUCAUACACAUUUCUCUUACAACAUUUCUACACAAGUCUCAGUCGUGUGGAAUAUUUGCAUAACAUUCUGCUCAUAUGUUGCCCAAUAAGUUGGACAUUCAGGUCGUGUCUAUUUUUGCACUAUGAUACAGUGAGUUCUAAAUAGUAUGUAAUUUCAGUUUUCAUUUCUUAAUUUAAGAGUUCUCAAAAGGUGUUACAGUUUUUUAGGUGGAUAGAUUUUUCCCCAUUUGCUUUUAAUCUUAAUGCCUUGGGGUCUGAGAAUGUGGCCUAUAUUUAUACUUUUUAGAAUUUGUUGAGCUUUUGAUUGAUGGUUGAUUUUGCAAAUAACUCUAGACAUAGUUUUGAGUGAUUCAUUGAGUACAAAACUCUAUAUAUUAAAGCACACUCAGUAGAAUACACUAUCCAUAUCCACUAUGUUCUUUUAUCUACCUGACCUCUUAAUUUCUGAAAGAACUGUGAGUUUUCAAAGUAUGUGCAUGGACUUGCCGUUUACUUUUGUAUAUUUUUAACAGUUUGUGCUUUACAUAUUUUGUUUAACUUAAUUUCUUCCCCAGCUUUAUUGAGAUGUAAUAUUGUGUAUGUUUAAGGUGUACAACAUGAUGGUUUGAUAUAUGUGUAUGUGGGGAAGUGAUUACCACAGUAAGGUUAGUUAACACAUCCAUUACCUCACAUAGUUUCAUUUUUUUUCUCUAUCAUCUGUUUUUUCAAACAUACAGUACAGUAUUUUUAACUACAGUCACCUGACUGUAUAUUACAUCCACAGAAUUUGUUCGUUUUAUAACUGGAAGUUUACUCUUUAUAACUGGAAGUGUACUCUUUUUCACCAUCUUAUUUCCAAAUUUUAUAGUGAUAAUAUGAAGUGUAAAAACCACAUAUCUGUUAAGAUGAUAAACAAAUAAGCAUAGUGGGAUAUGUAUCUUUUUAUGCAUUUUGAAUUAUUUCCUUGGUCUGAAUUUUCAGAAGGAAAUGGCCUUGAGAGCCAAACUGGCCUCUGAAGAAUUUGACAAAAGCACACGAUGGCUUUCACAGCAGAGGGCUUGCUUCACUGAACCCUCCCUGGUCAGCAGCAGGUAUAAAAAGAACAAAACGCAAAACAAGACUGUCUUAUUUUGAGAGAGGUCCAUUAAUUGGUUGUAUUUUCUUUUUUGUAUGUGGAUUAUCUGUUCCUGUCCUUUUGUGCUUCUGUUUUUUUAUCUUGAGGAGGUUAAUCUCUUCCAGUUCUUAUGUUCUAGGAAUUACAUUUAUGCUUAUUCUAUGGCAAAACACCUUAUUGAAAAAUAAAAAAUCCAGCCUAUCAAACCAGAUACCUCAAAUUCAUCCUGUCUCCGUCCGCACUGCCUGUGGGCCUGACCUUUCAGUGUGACACACGAAGCAGGAGAUUUUGCAGCUGCAGGAGCUGCUGUUGAGCUCACUUCUGAAGGUAAGAUGCCUUCAAAUGGCCCCGGACACAGAGAGGAAAAACCAUCAGAGCAGCUAGAGAUGGCAAGCCUGUGAUGAUCAGAGCCAACAUAGAAAAUCUAGGAUACAGUGAAGCAAAGAAGAGGAAAAUAAAAUAGUCCUUAAGUCCUGCCCCCAAAGAUACAACUGACAACCUCUACUGUAUCGCCUUCCAGAUUCUCUCUCUCUUACAAUUGGGGCCAUACUUUAGUCUAAUAAUAUUUUGUGCCUUUUUAAAAACAGUCUUUUCUUGUCAUUAUACAUUCUUCAUAUCUAUCUAUAUAUAUAUAGAGAGAGAUAAAAUUGAAAUUGCUUUAUUGUUUUGUCUGGCUAUAAAUGUAAUACACAGAUGGAAGACAUGCCCAUGCAUAAACAAGAAGGUGAAAAUCACCUGUAAUCUGCCACAUCCCCCAACCCCUGUAACAGUCAGAGUUAUAACUUUGGCAUAUACUCUGACUAUUCUUUCUAAUGCAUGUUUCUUGCACACAGCUAAUUCCCCUCCCUUCCAAGAUUGGGUUCAUAUAACAUAUAAUGUUUUAUAACCUGCUUUUUAAAUUUAAAAAUGCAUUGUGAAUAUCUUUCCAGUUAUUAACAUUCUUGGUACAGCAUUAUUUCAAUGGCUUUUAUUACAUAAUAUGGUGCAUUCUCAUUUAUUUCACUGGAUACUUAGGUUUUUAGCAUGUUUUCAGUAUGCUCACAGUAACGUGAUGCAUGUUUUUGCCAUUAAUAAUCCUUGUGCAUAACCAUAAUAACCUUUUCAUGAUAAAUUCAUAGAAGUAGAAUUGCUGGACCAAAAAAUGUGCACAAUUUUAAGGUUCUUGAUACUAUUACCAAUUGCCCUUCACAAUGGCAGCACCAGUCUGCACUCCCAGCAACGGAAUACGAAUGGGCUCCUUUAUUCACACACUCAUCUACCUGAAAUAUUGUAUCUGGUAAAUAAUUUUGGUAAUCUGUAAAAUACAUUUCUAAAAUGCACUCCUUUUUUUGUGUAUUUGUUGUCUAAACAACUCCAAUCUAUAUUAGAAACAAGUCUAUAUUUAAUUUUUAUUAGAGUUUAUUAUUCAUUAAAUUACCAACUUCUGGCUUCUUUCUUUCAGUAUAUAUAUAUAUUUUUUAAACAUUCACUUGUUUAAACAACCUGGAAAUACUUUUGGUCUAAAAUGUGAAGGGCUAAAACUUAAAUUUUUUUUCAAAUAGCUUACCAAUUGGUUCAGCACACUUUAUCAUAUAAUUCACCCUUUCCCCAUGUGUGUAAAUGCCACUUGUAUCAUGUAAUCCACAUAUUCUAGUGGGUUUAUUCUUAUGUCACUUAAUUUUAAUUAUUGGAAUCAGGAAUUGUAAGUUGACCAGUAUAUACCUAGUAGCUGAUAAUCUCACUGUGGGGAAGAGGCUCUUGCCUUGGAGAAAGUAAACCUUUCUGAUUCUAAAAAGAUGGGUGAGUCUCAUUCCUCCAUCUCUGCAAUUUACCCCUCUGCUAAGACCUAAGGAUGGGGAAAACAGGACGUCAUGGCCAGGAAGCAGGAAUCUAGAACUCAGAACAAGGCUAACCAGCAACAAAGCCUGGGGGUCACAGUAAAAAACAAGAUCCGCCUUAGGGAUUCUGACACUUUGAAAGUCAACUAAGUUCUGGGACCCUCAUAAGAAAUUAAAAACUAACAGUUUGGGGCACUCUGAAAAAGUACUGUUCUCAAGAUUUUAGAUCAAUAAAUAAAUCCAUAGAGUCACACCUCAGUUAAGUCAAUGACCUCGCUGUCCCUGUGCUUGAAAUACCAGCUUUUUAAAUGUAGGAACUAAUAAUAUGUUUAGCCACUAUAAUAACAAAUUCUACUUCUGUGAAAAAAAAAAGGUACAAAUUAGUGGAAAUUGUGCUUUCUCAUCUAACCCUACUUCUGAGCAAGCUGAGUGUUCACACCACAAACCCAGUCAGGACAAUGCACCUCAAUCCGGGGUGGUGAACUGUACUUUUAGGCAAAAAUAGAGAAAAUAAAUUACCUGGACUAGCUGGAAAACUAAAAGUAGAAAGUAAGAGGUGAUACAUCAGAUUAGAUGAAGGACACAAUAACAUCAUUUUUAUGCUAUUCACACAAACUGGCUUGUGUGGGGAGAGUGCUAGAUGCUAAUAGGUGGUGCAGUGUUUCUUCCCUGCCUCCCAUUCUGUUGCUGGGCUCCCCAUGUUUCCUGCUCCCUUUGUGGGUAAUAGCUUCGUAAGCUGCCCGCAAAUCCUUUUGGAACUAGGUAGUGCAAAAAUAAAUAAAAAUACGGUUCUUAGGUGCUUUCCAAUGUAGUGUAAAAUUGAAUUUUAAUGGUCAAUUUAAUAAAAAUGAAAGGAGGAACUAUUUUGUUUUAACCUCUCAUCACUUUUUUCCGGGGAGCUUUUGCUUUUUUUGCACUCAUGCCUGAUGCUGGCAGCCAGGUGGGUGUCGUCAGUGGCACUUGCCUACACAGGAGGUCACAGCUGCUCAGCUACAGGCAGUUGUCUAUAUUCUAUAUCUUCUAUGAGAUUUCAAUUUUGUUUAAAAAAGUACGUGCUGAAGAAAAUCUGGAGGAACAAUAAGCCUUCAAAUACUGAUUUUACACAUUUCUGCAAUGUUCCAUACUUGGAUUUAAAAAAUAUCUCUUUAUUGAAAUAUAAUCUGUAUCUAUUUCCAUAUCUAUAUGUACUGAGUGUAUAGCUCAAUGACUUUUCAUAAACUGAUCACCC
Molecule: long non-coding RNA, 5302 nt
Organism: Manis pentadactyla (Chinese pangolin)
Lineage: Eukaryota; Metazoa; Chordata; Mammalia; Pholidota; Manidae
Exons: 6
Source: RefSeq, a predicted model, not a curated record